AUGCAAGUCGAGCGGUAGCAGGACCUGUAGCAAUACAGGUUGCUGACGAGCGGCGGACGGGUGAGGAAUACGUAGGAACUUGCCCUUCAGAGGGGGAUAACCAAGGGAAACUUUGGCUAAUACCGCGUAAUCUCGGGAGAGUAAAGCUGCCGCAAGGUGGUGCUGAAGGAGAGGCCUGCGUCCGAUUAGCUAGUUGGGGAGAUAAGAGCUCACCAAAGCGAUGGUCGGUAACUGGUCUGAGAGGACGACCAGUCACACUGAGACUGAGACACGGCCCAGACUCCUACGGGAGGAAGCAGUGGGGAAUAUGGGACAAUGGGGGCAACCCUGAUCCAGCGAUGCCGCGUGAGUGAAGAAGGCCCUCGGGUCGUAAAGCUCUUUAGGUUGGGAAGAAGGUUAUUGGAGGAAAUGCUAGUAACUUGACGGUACCGACAGAAUAAGCACCGGCAAACUCUGUGCCAGCCGCCGCAGUAA
RNAcentral lists this ribosomal RNA (474 nucleotides) under uncultured bacterium. Its description in RNAcentral is "partial 16S ribosomal RNA". It matches the Rfam family "Bacterial small subunit ribosomal RNA", at positions 55 to 523 of the family's 1533-position model. The record is from RNAcentral.